RNAcentral lists this ribosomal RNA (254 nucleotides) under uncultured bacterium. RNAcentral's name for it is "partial 16S ribosomal RNA". It matches the Rfam family "Bacterial small subunit ribosomal RNA", at positions 524 to 776 of the family's 1533-position model. The record is from RNAcentral.
GACGGUAGGGCGCGAGCGUUGUCCGGAUUUAUUGGGCGUAAAGAGCUCGUAGGCGGCUUGUCGCGUCGACUGUGAAAACUCGGGGCUCAACUCCGAGCUUGCAGUCGAUACGGGCAGGCUAGAGUUCGGUAGGGGAGACUGGAAUUCCUGGUGUAGCGGUGAAAUGCGCAGAUAUCAGGAGGAACACCGGUGGCGAAGGCGGGUCUCUGGGCCGAUACUGACGCUGAGGAGCGAAAGCGUGGGGAGCGAACAGG